CAUAGGUUAAUGAGGCGAACCGGGGGAACUGAAACAUCUAAGUACCCCGAGGAAAAGAAAUCAACCGAGAUUCCCCCAGUAGCGGCGAGCGAACGGGGAGCAGCCCAGAGCCUGAAUCAGUGUGUGUGUUAGUGGAAGCGUCUGGAAAGGCGCGCGAUACAGGGUGACAGCCCCGUACACAAAAAUGCACAUACUGUGAGCUCGAUGAGUAGGGCGGGACACGUGGUAUCCUGUCUGAAUAUGGGGGGACCAUCCUCCAAGGCUAAAUACUCCUGACUGACCGAUAGUGAACCAGUACCGUGAGGGAAAGGCGAAAAGAACCCCGGCGAGGGGAGUGAAAAAGAACCUGAAACCGUGUACGUACAAGCAGUGGGAGCACGCUUAGGCGUGUGACUGCGUACCUUUUGUAUAAUGGGUCAGCGACUUAUAUUCUGUAGCAAGGUUAACCGAAUAGGGGAGCCGAAGGGAAACCGAGUCUUAACUGGGCGUUAAGUUGCAGGGUAUAGACCCGAAACCCGGUGAUCUAGCCAUGGGCAGGUUGAAGGUUGGGUAACACUAACUGGAGGACCGAACCGACUAAUGUUGAAAAAUUAGCGGAUGACUUGUGGCUGGGGGUGAAAGGCCAAUCAAACCGGGAGAUAGCUGGUUCUCCCCGAAAGCUAUUUAGGUAGCGCCUCGUGAAUUCAUCUCCGGGGGUAGAGCACUGUUUCGGCAAGGGGGUCAUCCCGACUUACCAACCCGAUGCAAACUGCGAAUACCGGAGAAUGUUAUCACGGGAGACACACGGCGGGUGCUAACGUCCGUCGUGAAGAGGGAAACAACCCAGACCGCCAGCUAAGGUCCCAAAGUCAUGGUUAAGUGGGAAACGAUGUGGGAAGGCCCAGACAGCCAGGAUGUUGGCUUAGAAGCAGCCAUCAUUUAAAGAAAGCGUAAUAGCUCACUGGUCGAGUCGGCCUGCGCGGAAGAUGUAACGGGGCUAAACCAUGCACCGAAGCUGCGGCAGCGACGCUGAUGCGUUGUUGGGUAGGGGAGCGUUCUGUAAGCCUGUGAAGGUGUGCUGUGAGGCAUGCUGGAGGUAUCAGAAGUGCGAAUGCUGACAUAAGUAACGAUAAAGCGGGUGAAAAGCCCGCUCGCCGGAAGACCAAGGGUUCCUGUCCAACGUUAAUCGGGGCAGGGUGAGUCGACCCCUAAGGCGAGGCCGAAAGGCGUAGUCGAUGGGAAACAGGUUAAUAUUCCUGUACUUGGUGUUACUGCGAAGGGGGGACGGAGAAGGCUAUGUU
This 1280-nucleotide ribosomal RNA is filed under the name Escherichia coli. RNAcentral describes it as "partial 23S ribosomal RNA". It matches the Rfam family "Bacterial large subunit ribosomal RNA", at positions 165 to 1488 of the family's 2925-position model. The record is from RNAcentral. Lineage: Bacteria; Pseudomonadati; Pseudomonadota; Gammaproteobacteria; Enterobacterales; Enterobacteriaceae.